GAGGGUACAGCUCAGUGGUGCAGCAAGUGCUUAACAUGCACGAGGUCCUGGGUUCAAGCCCCAGUACCUCA
Molecule: transfer RNA, 71 nt
Filed under: Camelus bactrianus (Bactrian camel)
Lineage: Eukaryota; Metazoa; Chordata; Mammalia; Artiodactyla; Camelidae
Also listed under: 2 other names
Rfam family: tRNA
About the family: Transfer RNA (tRNA) molecules are approximately 80 nucleotides in length. Their secondary structure includes four short double-helical elements and three loops (D, anti-codon, and T loops). Further hydrogen bonds mediate the characteristic L-shaped molecular structure. tRNAs have two regions of fundamental functional importance: the anti-codon, which is responsible for specific mRNA codon recognition, and the 3' end, to which the tRNAs corresponding amino acid is attached (by aminoacyl-tRNA synthetases). tRNAs cope with the degeneracy of the genetic code in two manners: having more than one tRNA (with a specific anti-codon) for a particular amino acid; and 'wobble' base-pairing, i.e. permitting non-standard base-pairing at the 3rd anti-codon position.
Source: Rfam by way of RNAcentral